GAUGAACGCUGACAGAAUGCUUAACACAUGCAAGUCAACUUGAACUUCGGUUUGGGUGGCGGACGGGUGAGUAACGCGUAAAGAACUUGCCCCACAGAUAGAGACAACAUUUGGAAACGAAUGCUAAUACCUGAUAUUAUGAUUUUAGGGCAUCCUAGGAUUAUGAAAGCUAUAUGCGCUGUGAGAGAGCUUUGCGUCCCAUUAGCUAGUUGGAGAGGUAACGGCUCACCAAGGCGAUGAUGGGUAGCCGGCCUGAGAGGGUGAUCGGCCACAAGGGGACUGAGACACGGCCCUUACUCCUACGGGAGGCAGCAGUGGGGAAUAUUGGACAAUGGACCAAGAGUCUGAUCCAGCAAUUCUGUGUGCACGAUGAAGUUUUUCGGAAUGUAAAGUGCUUUCAGUUGGGAAGAAAAAAAUGACAGUACCAACAGAAGAAGUGACGGCUAAAUACGUGCCAGCAGCCGCGGUAAUACGUAUGUCACAAGCGUUAUCCGGAUUUAUUGGGCGUAAAGCGCGUCUAGGUGGUUAUAUAAGUCUGAUGUGAAAAUGCAGGGCUCAACUCUGUAUUGCGUUGGAAACUGUGUAACUAGAGUACUGGAGAGGUAAGCGGAACUACAAGUGUAGAGGUGAAAAUUCGUAGAUUUUUGUAGGAAUGCCGAUGGGGAAGCCAGCUUACUGGACAGAUACUGACCGCUGAAGCGCGAAAGCGGGGGUAGCAAACAGG
Molecule: ribosomal RNA, 724 nt
Filed under: uncultured Fusobacterium sp.
Lineage: Bacteria; Fusobacteriati; Fusobacteriota; Fusobacteriia; Fusobacteriales; Fusobacteriaceae
Description: bacterial SSU rRNA
Rfam family: Bacterial small subunit ribosomal RNA
Source: RNAcentral